CAACCACGGCAGUUCAGUCCAGGACCCGCGGGAGCAACACCGCCGCUCGUGACGCCGCUAACCCCCUCGCCAACUUUUCGUUACUUCCCACUCCCCCCGAAACAAACUGGCAUUUGCAGGCGAUUUACAGCGUUGCUUAGACUCGUUCCGUUCCAGUGGUGGUGUCCGGAUGUUUAGGUUCCCACAAAAUAAGGAACCGCAAAGGUGUUCCGAUUUAGAACUCUUUUUGUUGACUGUCCCGAAAGAGAAAGACAUUUUCAUUGAGUGAACUGAUUUCAUUUUUCGUUCGCUUUGGCUGAAAUACAAAUAUACUGAAAAUUUCACCAGGAAAUUGUUUUUCCAUAGAAAUACUAAAAGGAGUUACGCUGACAUCUCGUGUUCGGGAAGGGCAUCUCGUUCGUAACAUUAAUAAGUGACUAAGAAAUACUGAUUCUACAAUAGAUUUGAAGUGCUAGUUCCAAAAAGAAUUGAAUAACACCAACUUCACAUCCGUCACCAUAUGUCUCCUGAAUGGCUGAGGCAACAAAAACCUAAGCGAGACAAGUAGGACCCACCAACUUGCAAGAGUCAGUUUGUGGAGGGAGAGCGACAAGAUUCCAGACCAUCAAGGCGCAAGACGCGCUUUGGAAUUCAUCUCGGAGAUAGCUAAGUGAGGGAGUGAGUGGUUGGACAAGAAGCUAACACAUUCCUUCUUUCUUUCUUCCUCUUUCUCUGUCUAGCUGGCGUUCACCCUCAUAUCUUUUUCUUUGAUUAAUUUAUUCAUUUAUUUCUCGUCUGACUGUUGCAAUGGUCGAAGCGCUGGCCCUUCUCUUCCACCCGGCCAGCAUCCCUCGCUGAAGAGGUGAUGCAGCGACCGCUGAUCCCAUGUAGUCGGGAGCCCCGAGAUGAGCUGGGGGAUGCCAUUGCCCCUCUGAGGGCCUCUUUCAACCACGUUCCUCCCAUCCAUCUGAGCCGCCGCGCCUGUAGAGGGUAACAGACUCGCCAGAUCACCGAUUACCGCCGGCCGCCUUCUGCAUUCCAAUGAGUGGGGAAAGGUGAGGGCGGGCGGGAGGCGGAGAAGCCAAGGGCGUGAUGUUGGUAUGAUCCCGAGGGCGUGGGCGUGUCUGGUGGUGUUGGCCACUGCGUGGCAGAUUGGCCCCCAACCCACAGCCGCUGCCAAGACCCGAAUCGUCGCCACCAAGUACGGCCAGGUCCAGGGACUCAUCCGACAUCUCGGCCACCUCUUGGGAGACGUCGAAGUGUUCAUGGGGGUUCCCUACGCCAGUCCCCCCAUCGAGGAGGGGCGCUUCACCCCGACGAACACCCCUACGCCCUGGGACAGCGUUCUAGACACCACGACCCCGCCUCCCGUGUGCCCUCAACUUCUGCCAGAUCCAGACGAAGCACAGAUGCCCAGGGAGAGGGUCCGCUUCGUCAGAAGAGUCCAGCCGGCGUUGGCCAACCAGAGCGAGGAUUGUCUCACUCUCAAUAUCUACUCCCCCAUCAUGGUCAUUCCAGGAACUGAAGUGUAUCCAGUGUUAGUCUAUCUGCACGGAGAAAGUUUUAGCUGGGGCGCGGGCUCGCUCUACGACGGAUCCGUCUUCGCUGCUUACGGCAGAGUGGUCGUCGUCACCGUGAAUUACCGACUGGGUCCUCUGGGUUUCCUUAACACCUACGGAGGGGGCGUGGGCGGCGUGGUCAGCAACUUCGCCCUUCUGGACCAGAUCGCGGCCCUCAACUGGAUAGCCGAAAACAUCGCCCAGUUCAGCGGCGACCCCGCCCGAGUGACGCUCUUCGGGCGGGAUACGGGCGCCGCUUGCAUUUCGUACCUCAUGGAAAGCCCGAUUGUUCCUCCCGGACUCUUCCAGCGGGUAGUUUUGAUGUCUGGCUGGUCAGGAUGCCCUUGGUCUCAAGUCCCAGCCCCUUUAAGCAUCACCCUACGGCUGGCAGUAGCUGCCGGCUGCCCUGUUCCGGAUGACCCUUCAGCCACUCAUCCACGCACUGUCGCCUGUCUGAGGGCCGCGCCCCUGGAGGCUCUCAUGAGCGCAGCGCGAGAAGUUGAAACCCCGGCCUUCAUGCCAGCCUGGGGCCCGAGCGAAGACGGGGUCGUCGUUUCCAAGGGCAGGAGAGGGUCGUCCUUGAGCCGGCAGCCCGUGGAGGUCGUCAUAGGAUACACGCCCUGGGAGGCCUGGUCGUGGCUAGGCGAAGGCCUCAUCAGUAACGGCGUCGACGACCGCACCUUCGAGAGGGUCGCCCGCACCUGGGUGAGGAACACCCGUCACCAUCACCUGAGGGAGGUGCUGGCGGCGGCGCUGCAGGAGUACACCGACUGGACGGCGGUGACUCCGGGGCCUCAGGCGCGGAGGGACCUCCUCCUGCACCUGCUGGGGGAUGCUGGGGUCAUCGCGCCGCUGCAUCAAGCGGCCGAUGCCCUCGCUCGCCACACGAAGGUCUUCAUGUUCUUGUGCGACCUGGCAAACAGAGUUCCUGGACAGAUACAGGCACCCGGAUGGGAACUCGGCUUAAUAUGGGGGACGGGACUGAGUGACGUCACGGAGUCUCCUGGGGCGCCUUCUCCGCCAAUUAAGGUUCCUGCGCUGACGCAGCUCUCCGAAGACUUCAUUACCUUAUUGACGAAUUUCGCCAAGUCAGGGGAUCCCAACUUACCCAGAGAAUCGCCCUCGCCUGGUUUCGCAGCUGUGGCUUGGCCCAGAUAUAUCCCAGAGUCGAGAAAAUACCUCAGAAUUGGUGUCCCGCCAACCGUCGGAUCACAGUACCGCGCCCACCAACUGGCCCUGUGGACAUGGCUCGUGCCAGAACUGGAGGCCGCCGGAAAGUCCUACCCCCCGGACCCCAACUCGUGGGAAAUGAGCACCGACCCUAAUCUCUUUUACGGCGUAGUGAAGCCUCCAGACCCUUGGCUUUUCCUCCAGCCCAACACUACGACCACAACCACCACGAUCAGUUCAGUGGCCACCACGCCAAUCACGCCCAGUCCGAAGCCUACCAAGCCAGCGGUUACCACUACGUUAGCGUUGUCACCUACAGUUACGAGUAUCAGCCCGAAGAUGCUGCUGCCUGAACCGGACGAAUACGUUCGCUAUUCCACGGCGCUGUUGGUGACAGUCGGCCUGGGAAUUUCGUUGCUGCUUCUCAAUGGGCUCAUAUUCCUCCUUCUCUUCUGGAGGAGGCCCUCUCAUACCUGUCAGGGACACCAUCCCCAGUCUCAGGACGGAGGCGGCCUGCCACGAGUGGGCUCCAUAAUAAGCGUUGGAGGACUUGGAAAAACUUACGGAGGUCCGCCAGACUGCGUCAAAGCCUCUUAUGAAAAGCUCCACUUAACUCCUGAGGAGCUCCAGAAACUUACUAGUAGGUCGCCCACGAGCAUUCUCAAGAGACCUAAGUCGCCGGGGACCCAGAAAUCUCAGGAUUCUUUCAAGUCCUCUCACGGAGUUGCUACCAUUAGCAGUGCUGUGCAUCGAGGCAAUCCAGACGAUUCCGAGGAGUAGUUAUGGGAGAGGUGGAAGAAGUUACCGAGGGGCGGUGUGACGUCGGGUUAGAUGAUCCAGCUGUCCUAUUAAUGAGAUGCGGCUAAGAAAGAACCAGGUGAAUGACCCAGAAGUGACACAGAUGUCAAAGGCCCUUUGACUUACUCAGUGACAUACAGCUCGGAGAUGACGUCCCCAAGUGAAACAAUGAGAUGUUCUCUCCUAGCAGGUAAG
Macrobrachium nipponense is the source of this 3701-nucleotide RNA transcript. It is a transcript of the gene named neuroligin-2-like, with no coding region annotated. The transcript has 14 exons. Lineage: Eukaryota; Metazoa; Arthropoda; Malacostraca; Decapoda; Palaemonidae. The record is from RefSeq and is a predicted model, not a curated record.